This 270-nucleotide ribosomal RNA is filed under the name uncultured archaeon. RNAcentral describes it as "partial 16S ribosomal RNA". It matches the Rfam family "Archaeal small subunit ribosomal RNA", at positions 477 to 747 of the family's 1478-position model. The record is from RNAcentral.
CAGCACCUCAAGUGGUCAGGAUGAUUAUUGGGCCUAAAGCAUCCGUAGCCGGCGCUGUAAGUUUUCGGUUAAAUCUGUACGCUCAACGUACAGGCUGCCGGGAAUACUGCAGCGCUAGGGAGUGGGAGAGGUAGACGGUACUCGGUAGGAAGGGGUAAAAUCCUUUGAUCUAUUGAUGACCACCUAUGGCGAAGGCGGUCUACCAGAACACGUCCGACGGUGAGGGAUGAAAGCUGGGGGAGCAAACCGGAUUAGAGACCCGAGUAGUCC